UCAAACUUGGUCAUUUAGAGGAAGUAAAAGUCGUAACAAGGUAACCGUAGGUGAACCUGCGGUUGGAUCAUUACAAAGUUUUUUUGGAGUUUAUUCAAACUCCUUUAACACUUGUGCACUAAUUAUCUGGGUGUUCUUUAUUCUUUUUCCUUGGAAAGAGAAAACCACCCAACCUUUUAUAAACACUAUUUCAAUUGUCUGAUACUUUAUAAUCUAAUUAUAAAAACAACUUUUGACAACGGAUCUCUUGGCUCUCGCAUCGAUGAAGAACGCAGC
RNAcentral lists this unclassified non-coding RNA (276 nucleotides) under uncultured fungus. Its description in RNAcentral is "partial contains small subunit ribosomal RNA, internal transcribed spacer 1, and 5.8S ribosomal RNA". The stretch from base 1 to 73 matches the Rfam family "Eukaryotic small subunit ribosomal RNA", at positions 1759 to 1831 of the family's 1831-position model. Lineage: Eukaryota; Fungi. The record is from RNAcentral.